Molecule: long non-coding RNA, 6374 nt
Filed under: Zea mays
Lineage: Eukaryota; Viridiplantae; Streptophyta; Magnoliopsida; Poales; Poaceae
Description: long non-coding RNA (ZMAY_LNC003377)
Source: RNAcentral
GGGUGCUCGCCAGGAAAGGUUCCGGCGGCAAGUUUCUGUUUCUUUUUCUUUCUUGUCUCUCAAGUUCCCAAGUCUCGCUUAUUACAUACUCUGCACAUAGGCAUUGACGACUGGGCCCACAGGUGGUGCCCUGAUUACAGACUCCAUGACAUCUGGCAUACUUAGGCCACUAACCCAGGCUUAGACACGUCGGCUUCAGUCAUUGAGGCGCGUCCGGCACACCGGCCGCGACAGCUUCCCCCCUGCAGCGGUUGCUUGUCCACAAGCAACGAACGAAGGAAACCUGGCCUGUAGAACAUACCAGUCUUCCCAGGUCGCCGAGUCCACUGGAAGGUGAGUCCAUUUCACCAGCACCUGUGGGACAGCCUUAGAGCCUUUCUUCACCAGACGACGCUCCAGAACCCGCUCAGGUUGAAGAUCAGUGGUACUGAAAUCCAGCAGCAUUUUGGGAUCUGCAAAAACUGGCGUGUAAUUUGGUGUGAAGGGUUUCAGAUGACUGACAUGGAAAACUGGAUGGAUGAGGCAGCCAUCAGGUAAUUUAAGGCGAUAAGCUGCGGAACCAACUCGCUGGAGCACUGCAAAUGGGCCAAAAAAUUUGAAUGCUAGUUUGGGGUAUGGUCGAUUCACCACUGAACUCUGGGCAUAUGGUUGUAACUUUAGGAGUACUUGUUCUCCAACUUGGAAUUGGCGAUCCACACGAUGGCGAUCGGCGAGCUGCUUCAUUCUGUUUUGAGCUCUAGCAAGAUUGUCCUUCAGUUGUUGCAUAUGAGCAUCCCUUUCAGUGACCCAAGUGAGAGCUUCGGUUGGAGUGUCUUGUAUAGGAGCAAUGGAAAAACCGAUGUCAGGCUCAUAGCCAUACAAUGCCUUGAAGGGAGAACAACCCAGGGAAGAAUGAAGACAUGUAUUGUACCAUAUUUCAGCCAAGGAAAUGCAGUGCUUCCAACGCUUGGGAUUGUCAUGAACUGCACAUCGCAAGUACAUUUCAAGACAUUGGUUGACGCGCUCCGAUUGGCCGUCGGUUUGAGGGUGAUAGGCUGUGCUCCGAAGUAAACCAGUGCCAAAUAAAGCAAACAGUUCUUUCCAAAAUGCGCUGAGAAAAAUGCGGUCGCGAUCUGAAACAAUGGUCUUGGGAAAACCAUGGAGCCUCACCACAUUGUCUAGAACAGCCCGCGCCACUAGCUGUGCUGUGAAUGGAUGUUUCAAUGGAAUGAAAUGUGCGUACUUAGUGUACCUGUCCACGACCACGAGUAUGCAAUUAUAACCCUCAGAUGAUGGCAGCCCUUCGACGAAGUCCAUAGUGAUGUCUUGCCAUGCGCCAACAGGAAUGGGCAAUGGCUGCAAAAGACCAGCUGGAUGAGUGUUACUGUGUUUGGCGUGUUGGCAUGCCGAGCACUGACGCACAAAAUCCUCCACAGCACUUUUGAGACCUUUCCAGUAAAACAACUGGCUGAUGCGAUGAUAAGUCCCUUUAGAACCUGAAUGACCCCCAACCGCAGUUGAGUGAAAACUGUUGAUCAAUUUGGUUUGCAACGCUGAAUUAUUGGCCACCCAAAUCUUGUUGUUGUAUCGAAUGAUACCCUGGGAUAAAGAAAAUCCUGCCUCAUCCGGAGAAUGGAGGGCCAGUUUAGCAAGUAAGUCCUGUGCUGCUAGGUCCGUAUUGUAGCUGUUCAAAAGCUCUUGCAGCCAAACUGGUUGGACAUGAGACACUGUUGUAGUGCUGCAAAGGUGCCCCACCCGGGACAGGGAAUCAGCCACAAUGUUCUCUUUGCCCUUGCGAUAGACUACUUUGAAUUGCAGACCCAUCAGACGAGUCAUGGCCUUUCUCUGCAUGUCUGAAUGAAGAUGUUGCUCAGUGAGGUAUGAGAGACAUUGAUGGUCAGUUCGGAUGAUAAACUCCUGUCGUUGGAGAUAUGUGCGCCAUCUUUCUACCGCCAUGAUAAGCGCUAGGAAUUCCUUCUCAUAAAUUGAAAGUUUCUGAUGUUGGGGCCCAAGUGCUUUACUGAGAAAAGCCACUGGUUGGUCUCGCUGAAUUAGUACAGCGCCAAUGCCGGUAUCACUUGCAUCAGUUUCCACAAUAAAGGGUUGUGAAAAAUCUGGAAUAGCCAACACUGGGGCAGUGGCCAUUGCCUGUUUCAAUUGAUUAAAGGCUUGUUGAGCUGUUGGGGUCCAUACAAAGUGUUUAGUACGAAGCAAACCAGUCAGGGGUCGAGCUAUAAGACCAUAAUGUUUGAUGAAUUUGCAAUAGUAACCGGCGAGUCCCAAAAAACCCCCGAAGUUCAGUAACUGUGGUGGGAAUGGGCCACUGUAACAUCGCAUCUGUUUUUGCUGGGUCAGUAGCAACGCCCUCCUGAGAGAUAAUGUGGCCCAAAUAAUGCAAAGAAGUUUGGCCAAAGGAGCAUUUACUCACUUUCAUAUAUAGCUGAUGCAGUCUGAGUUGAGCCAACACUUUCUGCAAAUGAGAAAUAUGGUGCUGCAUAGAGCAACUGUAAAUGAGGAUAUCAUCCAAGAAAACCAGCACGAACUUCCGAAGGAAUGGCUCGAGUAUGGUAUUCAUAAGACAUUGGAACGUAGCCGGGGCGUUGGUGAGUCCAAAUGGCAUGACGCGGAAUUGAAAAUGACCAUGGUGCGUCUUAAAAGCUGUUUUGGGUUCAUCCUCAGGCCACAUGCGGACUUGAUGGUACCCAGAUCUCAUGUCCAACUUAGUAAAGAAUUUGGUGCCCGCCAGUUCAUCGAGAAUUUCAUCAAUCACUGGGAUAGGAAACCUGUUUUUCACUGUUAUGGCAUUCAACUUCCGGUAAUCAACACAGAAUCGCCAGGUACCAUCUUUCUUUUGAACGAGAAGCACUGGAGAAGCAAAGGGACUAGUACUGUGCACAAUCAGACCAGUCUGCAGAAGUUCCUUAACUUGUUUUUCGAUUUCGUCCUUAUGUAAAGGAGAAUACCGAUAUGAUCUGGAGUUUACUGGAGGUUGGUUGGGCAGCAAGGGAAUGCGAUGGUCGUGGAGCCUAGGGGUUGGUAGUUUCUUCGGAUCCUUAAAGACGUCUGCAUAUUCCUGUAGGACAGGCCGAAGUUCCAGUGGAACUUGGGCAUCUGGCAACUGUGAAAGAAUUUCGAUGACAGCUAAAGCUGCAAUAUCAUUGCCUGCUGCCCACUUGACCAGCUCAUGUGGAGAAACCUCUGGAAGAAUGGACUGAUUUUGGAUAAUUCCUUGUAGAUGCACUGACUGGUGACGAUACUGAAAAUCCAGAGUUCUAUCUUCCCAAUGGCAGAUCAUGGGACUAAGCGGAGCUAACCAAUCAUAGCCUAGAAUGGCAUCAAAAGCCCCAAAGUCCAGUACCAACAUAUCUGAAUAGAAGGUGUAUCCCUGAAUCCACCACUCUAGUUGAUGAACUUGCUGGUCAACCACCAGUAGCUCUCCAUUGGCUACUUUCACUGUUAAAGGAGACCGAGGUGUAGAUGGAAUACCACAAGUCUUAAGGAAAGCGGCACUGACGAAGCUGUGCGAGCUCCCACUGUCGACAAGGGUCAGCAUGACCUUGUUUUUUACCAUAGCUCGGAGUUUCAAUGUACGGCCUGUAUCAGUUCCUGCAAGUGCAUUUAGGGACAACUGACCAAACUCAGAGGAAAGAGCAUCUUCCAUGUCCAACUGAUGAAGAAUAUCUUCUGUGAGAGGAAUAUCCAAAUCAUUCACCACGACAGCAUUCAACUGUGUUUUGGGACGCUUGGGACAGUUGGCUAAAUGAGCAGGGUCAAAAGGAGCCAGACAAUAGAAACAUAGAUUAUUGGCCCGACAAUAGUCCCUCUUCUGGCGUUCUUUAGUCAAUGGAGAAUUGAAAGUAGAACUCAUCUUUACCUCAGGGCGACCAGAAAUUCCAAACUGAGCCUUGUGUGGAAAUGCAGGUUUACUGUACUUGAAUUGUGGACGAUCGAAUAAGGCUUCUUGGAUCUUGGCAAUAUGCACCGCCUGUUCCAUUGUACGAGGUAUGUGAGAUUGGACCAGCGCAGCCAAUUCGGGUUUUAGAUUGCGAGUGAACUGAUUGAUGAAGAACAUUCUGUCAAAACCACUGUUAUGCAUCUCUAGCCGAAAUUGCAGAGACUGAAACUGGAAAUAAAAUUCAUCAACUGAACCAGUUUGCUUUAGAGUGAACAAAUCCUGCAUAGCAUGAUCAUAAUCAUAAGCACCAAAUUUAUCCUCCACAUCGGUCAUGAAUUGGGCCCAGGAAGGAAAACCCCCCUUUGAGGCGCUGCACCUCCAUCCACCUCCCAGCAUUAUCCCUCAUAUGCAUUGUUGCAGAAGUAACCCAAAGGUGCUCAGGAACAUUGUAGAACAGAAAGUAAUCCUCACACUGCCGGCGCCAGAUACGUGGAUCGCGCCCAUUAAACUCUGGAAAGUUCAACUUGGGUGUGGUACGACGAUACCCUUGCAUGCCUUCAUUCCAAUCGCGAGGAAUAACUGGUGGGGGCGAUGAUGAUGAUGCUCACCAGGGUGGUAACCAGCGGGACGGGGUGGACGCUGAUGCAGAGAGGGUUGCGCCUCCCUGGAGAACUGUGAGGAAGUGUCCCACUCCGCCGAAGGUCGGCGCUCGCGUGUGAGAAGAUCCACCGCCUUGCCUGUGGCUUCGAGUUGUUGCGCGAAGGUGGCUUGAUCUUUGAGAACCUGCUCCAUAGCCUUCACCCCCAAGUCCUGGUGGAUCUGCAUCUGCUCUUGCGCGCGCGUGACGUCGCCUAGCCUUGUAAACAACAGAUCAAUGCUCUGAUUGAGGUGAUUCCAGCGUUCCUCCUCAGUCCUCACGUUCCCCCGCGGCGGCCAUCGCGUCUAGGACGAAACGAGUCUGGACGGAAGGUUUCGGCGGCGCCGUGGUGACUACCCGCAAAUCGGACCGUGGUGGCGUGGGAAUCACGGGGAUUCAAUCGACGCCGCCGGUGCUGCGCGGCAAACGUCGAGAACUCACCAAACCCGUGCCUAUUACGGUGACGAUCGACGGAAAUUGCAGACACCCGCGGUAGCGUGCCGAAGAUCAACUGGUCUUUGAUACCAACUGUUGUGCCCCGUGGCCACCGAGGAUCUCCGAUGGCGUGAGGUGCGUACUCAAACGAACGAGGGAGAGGUGGGUGCUCGCCAGGAAAGUUUCCGGCGGCAAGUUUCUGUUUCUUUUUCUUUCUUGUCUCUCAAGUUCCCAAGUCUCGCUUAUUACAUACUCUGCACAUAGGCACUGACGACUGGGCCCACAGGUGGUGCCCUAAUUACAGACUCCAUGACAUCUGGCAUACUUAGGCCACUAACCCAGGCUUAGACACGUCGGCUUCAGUCAUUGAGGCGCGUCCGGCACACCGGCCGCGACAGCUUCCCCCCUGCAGCGGUUGCUUGUCCACAAGCAACGAACGAAGGAAACCUGGCCUGUAGAACAUACCAGUCUUCCCAGGUCGCCGAGUCCACUGGAAGGUGAGUCCAUUUCACCAGCACCUGUGGGACAGCCUUAGAGCCUUUCUACACCAGACGACGCUCCAGAACCCGCUCAGGUUGAAGAUCAGUGGUACUGAAAUCCAGCAGCAUUUUGGGAUCUGCAAAAACUGGCGUGUAAUUUGGUGUGAAGGGUUUCAGUUGACUGACAUGGAAAACUGGAUGGAUGAGGCAGCCAUCAGGUAAUUUAAGGCGAUAAGCUGCAGAACCAACUCGCUGGAGCACUGCAAAUGGGCCAAAAAAUUUGAAUGCUAGUUUGGGGUAUGGUCGAUUCACCACUGAACUCUGGGCAUAUGGUUGUAACUUUAGGAGUACUUGUUCUCCAACUUGGAAUUGGCGAUCCACACGAUGGCGAUCGACGAGCUGCUUCAUUCUGUUUUGAGCUCUAGCAAGAUUGUCCUUCAGUUGUUGCAUAUGAGCAUCCCUUUCAGUGACCCAAGUGAGAGCUUCGGUUGGAGUGUCUUGUAUAGGAGCAAUGGAAAAACCGAUGUCAGGCUCAUAGCCAUACAAUGCCUUGAAGGGAGAACAACCCAGGGAAGAAUGAAGACAUGUAUUGUACCAUAUUUCAGCCAAGGAAAUGCAGUGCUUCCAACGCUUGGGAUUGUCAUGAACUGCACAUCGCAAGUACAUUUCAAGACAUUGGUUGACGCGCUCCGAUUGGCCGUCGGUUUGAGGGUGAUAGGCUGUGCUCCGAAGUAAACCAGUGCCAAAUAAAGCAAACAGUUCUUUCCAAAAUGCGCUGAGAAAAAUGCGGUCGCGAUCUGAAACAAUGGUCUUGGGAAAACCAUGGAGCCUCACCACAUUGUCUAGAACAGCCUGCGCCACUAGCUGUGCUGUGAAUGGAUGUUUCAAUGGAAUGAAAUGUGCGUACUUAGUGUACCUGUCCACGACCACGAGUAUGCAAUUAUAACCC